GCAUCGAAACACAAAACUGGUUCGAACCGGUUUCGUUCUUAUAUUUCAGCGUAAACUACAAAAACAUUCGUUUGCAUUAUACAUUCGCCAUUUUACGCUACGACCGAACGGUUGUUGUGUGUUAUCUCUCCGGAGAAAAUCACGUUUUUACGGUUCUAUUUUUGUGAUCUUUCUGUGCAUUUCCUAUCAACAACAUGGGCAAAACGAAGACUAACUCUGAGCCAACAAGAUUCUCCGAACGGUUGGCAGGGAGACCUAAAAUUACGGCGGAGCUGAAGAAAAAAGCUGCUGUAAAAAAGGCAGCCAAACCAAAGAAGGCCAAAUCAGCUGAAAAUGGGAGCACCAAGGCUGAGGAGAAACAGGCUGAAGCCAAAUGAAGGACAGCUGAUGUGCUCACUCUGUGUACUUGGUGAUUGUACAGUUUUAAAUAAGUAUUUUUACCAAGUUUUAUAUUACCAAUGUCAUUUAUAGGUUUGGUUUGGGCUUGCACUUGAUGUAACAGAAGUUUGUUGUCACAUUCAUAUCCAUUUUAUAUCCAUUUAAAAAUGAUUACCGUCCAUAUCUUGUAGAAGUGGCAUUUUCAGUUUGUCUAAUCCCGUUUUGUUUUUUAUUUUGAACUGCUGAAUAAUAUGUUUUUUUUUUAUCCAGAAAGUUGGAAUUUGAAUCUUAUUUUAAACAUUAUAAGGCAGCUAAAGCAUAUUAUUAAAAUUUGAAGGUUGGGGGGGAGGGGGGUAGGAAUUCUCUCUGCUAUCUCCUUAUAUUUUAAUGUUUAAUUAAUAAGAAAUUGCUUACCAAAUGUUUUGAAACACUGUAUGUAGACACAAGUUCCAGUCAGUGAUUAUACCACAGACAAUACCAUUAUUAGGUCAAAUGACUGAAACAUCCCAAAAACAUGUAUGAUGUGAACCUCGUCAUCUGAUGAAGUCCUGUUAAGUUAUGUUUCUGCUCUGACUGAAGCUUUUCUGACUUUAAUGGUUGAUCUUAAUGUUCUUGAAUAAAAUUUGUCAAAAUGUC
Long non-coding RNA from Plectropomus leopardus (leopard coralgrouper), 1014 nucleotides. RefSeq lists it as uncharacterized. The record is from RefSeq and is a predicted model, not a curated record. NCBI's taxonomy places the organism in Eukaryota, Metazoa, Chordata, Actinopteri, Perciformes, Serranidae.